This is an RNA transcript of Prosopis cineraria, 1417 nucleotides long. It is a transcript of the gene named mediator of RNA polymerase II transcription subunit 19a-like, with no coding region annotated. The record is from RefSeq and is a predicted model, not a curated record. NCBI's taxonomy places the organism in Eukaryota, Viridiplantae, Streptophyta, Magnoliopsida, Fabales, Fabaceae. The transcript has 7 exons.
UAAGAGGUGGCAAGAAGCCGCAAUUGGCAUCGAAGAAGUUGGAAGCAGGAGGAAUUUUUCAUGAAUUGGGUUGUGCUGUCGCAACACUACUAGCGAUAGUUUGAUUUCGCGGGGAAACUGGACUUGGAGCACAAGAUCGUGUCUUUAUAUGCUCCUCUGAUGAUGAUCUGCCAAUCUGUCAAAGAUUGACACAUGGAUCCUGAAGGCAAAAAGUUUGGAGGAGGACCAAGGGAAUUAACGGGUGCUGUAGAUCUUAUAAGUCACUUCAAAUUACUUCCGCACUAUGAGUUUUUUUGCAAGAGGCCACUGCCCGUGUCAAUUGCAGACACACACUAUCUUCAUAAUGUGGUAGGAGACACAGAAAUCAGAAAAGGAGAUGGGAUGCAGUUGGAUCAACUUCUUCAGAAUACAUCUUACUCCGUAGAUACAAGUUCUCGCAUACAGCCUUUUGACCUAGAUAUUUUGAAGGAGGCUUUUCAACUGAGGGAAACAGCUCCCAUUGAUUUGCCUCCUGCCGAGAAGGGAACUCCAACUAUUGCAGGAAAAUCAAAAGGUGAGUCUAAAGAUAAGGAGAAGAAGCAUAGAAAGCACAAAGACAGGGACAAAGAUAAGGAUAAGGAGCAUAAGAAGCACAAGCAUCGCCAUAAAGACCGCAGCAAAGACAAGGACAAGGAGAGAAAAAAGGAAAAAAGUGUGUAUCAUGAUUCCAGUGCCGAUCAUGCGAAGAAACACCAUGAAAAGAAAAGGAAGCAUGAUGGAGAUGAAGAUCUUAACGAUGCAAGCAAACACAAAAAAAGCAAGCAUAAGAGCUCAAAAAUUGAUGAGUUGGGGGCAAUAAAGGUAGCAGGAUAAAAAGGAUACAUACUGUAGUUCACUUUUUUCUCAAAUAGUUGUUAUCAGUUGUUAAAGUUUGGAGGGGUCUCUCAGUUGACAUUGUGAAACUUGAGAGUAGCUAGUGAACUGUCCCUAAAUAUUAUCAUGAGGGUGAAUUCACCUGUUGGUGGAAGGAAAGGAUACUGAGGUAAAAUUUGCUGAGAAUGAACCUUGUUGUAUAAUUAUAACUAUCUUAUAUCUAUAUACACACACACAUUAGUGCCAGUAAUUUCCCAAAAUCUGGUCCUUUCUGUGUUUUCUCAGUUUUGUGGCGCACUGGACAUCUCAAAGUGAAUGCAUUAUUUUUGCCCCUUAGUGAAUUUUCUAUUUAGUAGUUUUCAAUUAGGGCUAGUUGCUUAGGAUGACUGAACUAGAACUAACACUGGGAAAUGUGUAUAUUGAUUUGAUUGCUUUUCCUCUGCCCUGUAUCUAACAGUAACUAGUCUGACAUUCAUGAUUUGUAUGGCUUGGCAUCAUGAAAACUAACUCUUCCCAAAGUUUUUUUGUAUAUAUUGUGUAUUGAAAUACUUGUCAUUUUGAGUAA